GUUUUUGUGAAGGAAUAGCGGCCUCUCGCGGCUGCUUCCUGGAUGCGCAUGCGAGGGCGUGAGGAGCACAACCCUCCUCAGCGGCUGACGUCACGCGGCAGCGGCUGUCAGAGGGGGCGUGGCCUUGUACUGCUGCAGCAGAGAAAUAUGACAUGGGGAUGAGCGAAAGAGAGAGGGAGAGAGUGAGACAGCCUGAUAGGAAUUAACGGUUCGUCAGAGGUCUGGACUGGAAACCUUAGGAUGGGGAGUAAUGACUGAAAACAGAACGAAUCGACAAGGACAUGCACGGUAAAGUGGAGAUUGCAACUGCUGCCAUACCGGAGUGACCCUGCUCGCACUGCAAGAUGUGGAGGAGGAGCACAACAAUCUAAUGUAUAUGCUCUGGGCAACGUGACUGGAGACUUGGCUCUUUGCAUCAGGAGAGUGCCUUUUUUGAAACUAUGCUGCCUGUUACAUUGUGGAACUUUUUACAGCUCAAUCCUCUGCAUUUUUCUCCAUUCUGUCUGAAACUUUUUAAUCUUUUUUAAUUAUUUACUACCGGUAUAUCAUGUCACACUUAGCUUAUUGGUGUUCCCUAGUUACUGUUGUAUCUACACGUUAUUUAAGGCACUCUGUUACAAAUGGUUGAUGCAUGUUCUGCUUUAUUACAUUUAAAUAUAUAUAUUUAUAUUCAAAAGGUGAUAAUGGAGAGAAAUUAAUAUAAUUUUAUGAUUGCUCUGAUUUUAAACUGCAUUUUAGGUGUCUGAGUGGCAUUUCGUAGAUUAAGUUCAGACAGCACCUUUUUCACUGUUCACUGCUGGCGUUCUCUGUUAAAAUCCUGCCUGGGGAAAAUAAAGUUUUAUUUUUUGCCCCUCACUUGAAUGUGCCCUCUGACUUGAGGAGGGAGAACAUGGUGACAGCAACAGUUUGAAGUAAAGAUGUAUGUCUUAGUGUAACAUUUCCUCCAAGUAAAGUCAUGGAUCCACA
Micropterus dolomieu (smallmouth bass) is the source of this 966-nucleotide long non-coding RNA. RefSeq lists it as uncharacterized. The record is from RefSeq and is a predicted model, not a curated record. The transcript is spliced from 2 exons. Lineage: Eukaryota; Metazoa; Chordata; Actinopteri; Centrarchiformes; Centrarchidae.